CAGUCGCCGCGGUAAAACGGAGGAUCCAAGCGUUAUCCGGAAUCAUUGGGUUUAAAGGGUCCGUAGGCGGUCUUGUAAGUCAGUGGUGAAAGCCCAUCGCUCAACGGUGGAACGGCCAUUGAUACUGCAGGACUUGAAUUAUUGGGAAGUAACUAGAAUAUGUAGUGUAGCGGUGAAAUGCUUAGAGAUUACAUGGAAUACCAAUUGCGAAGGCAGGUUACUACCAAUUGAUUGACGCUGAUGGACGAAAGCGUGGGUAGCGAACAGGAUUAGAGACCCCUGUAGUCCCUGUCUCUUAUAC
Molecule: ribosomal RNA, 301 nt
Filed under: uncultured bacterium
Lineage: Bacteria
Description: partial 16S ribosomal RNA
Rfam family: Bacterial small subunit ribosomal RNA
Source: RNAcentral